UCUACUUUUAUUGGUUGUUGUGCUGAAUUGCAUGAAAUAGGUUGCCGGAAUUGGGUAAAGAAACACACCACUGGAUAUGCAUUUUUUCCUGAUUUCCCACCUCAGACGGAACCCAGUUGCAGACAAAGUGGCGUGAAAGGACCUCAACUACUUAGAGUAAAAUCAUGGUUUAAUCAAUCAACCAGAAACUAAUACACUUCUUCGAUUCCCGUUUAACAACCAUAUGUAUUAGUUGGAGAAAUUAGGACAAGCGACUCCCUGGAGGUCUCUGAAACCAUGUCAGUCAGCGUCCAUGAAAACCGUAAGUCCCGGACCAGCACGGGCUCCAUGAACAUUUCACUGUUCCAUAAGCCCUCGCAUCCAGACAGCGUGCUCACGCACCUCAACACCCUCCGCAAGCAGUGCAUGUUCACUGACGUGACGCUGUGGGCGGGGGACCGCUCCUUCCCCUGCCAUCGGGCGGUACUGGCCGCAUGCAGCCGCUACUUUGAGGCGAUGUUCAGCGGCGGGCUCCGUGAGAGCCUGGACAACGAGGUGAACUUCAGAGACAGUGUGCAUCCAGAGGUGUUGGAGCUGCUGCUGGACUUUGCCUACUCGUCACGUGUCAUCAUCAACGAGGAGAACGCGGAGUCGUUGCUGGAGGCGGGAGACAUGCUGCAGUUCCACGACAUCAGAGACGCUGCUGCGGAAUUCCUGGAGAAGAACCUGCACUUGUCCAACUGCCUGGGUAUGAUGCUACUGUCUGAUGCCCACCAAUGCAAACAGCUGUAUGAGCUCUCCUGGAGGAUGUGCCUGGUGCACUUUGAGGCGUUGCAGGACACAGAGGACUUCUACGGCCUCAACAAAUACAAGCUGCUGAACCUGAUCCUCAGCGACGAGCUGGAGAUCGAGGACGAGCAUAUCGUGUUCAAUGCUGUGAUGCGCUGGGUGCGCUACGACCUGGACGGCCGCAGAGACGACCUCCCUGAGCUGCUGGGUGGAAUCCGCCUGGCCCUACUGCCCUCUGAGUGUCUGAUUGAUGCGGUGGCCUGCGAGGAGCUGGUGAUGUCAGACAAGAGGAGCCGGCAGAUAGUGGAGGAGGCCAUGCAGUGCAAGAAGAAGAUCCUGCAAAACGAUGGGGUGGUCACCAGCCCAUGUGCCCGGCCCCGCAAGGCAGGCCACACAUUGCUCAUCUUGGGAGGACAGACCUUCAUGUGUGAUAAGAUCUACCAGGUGGACCACAAAGCCAAGGAGAUCAUUCCCAAGUCGGUCUUGCCCAGUCCCAGGAAAGAGUUCAGUGCCUGUGCAAUUGGCUGUAAGGUCUACGUGACUGGGGGAAGGGGUUCUGAGAAUGGGGUGUCCAAGGAUGUUUGGAUUUAUGACACGGUCCACGAGGAGUGGUCUAAAGGAGCUCCCAUGUUGAUAGCACGGUUUGGCCAUGGUUCAGCUGAACUGGAGAACUGGCUGUAUGUGGUGGGUGGCCACACUGCCAUAGCAGGCAUCUUCCCAGCCUCCCCAUCAGUCUCCCUCAAACAGGUAGAGCGGUAUGACCCACUCACCAACAAAUGGACCAUGAUGGCGCCGCUCAGAGAUGGUGUUAGCAAUGCAGCUGUGGUCAGCGCCAAGCUAAAGCUGUUUGUGUUUGGUGGUACCACCAUACACAGAGACAAGGCCUCAAAGGUGCAGUGCUACGACCCUCUAGAGAACCGCUGGGCCAUCGCAGCAGAAUGUCCGCAACCGUGGAGAUACACAGCCGCUGCUGUUCUGGGCAGCCAGAUCUUCAUAAUGGGCGGAGACACUGAGUUCACCGCCGCCUCCGCCUACCGCUUUGACUGUGAGACCAACCAGUGGUCUCGUGUUGGGGACAUGACUUCUAAAAGAAUGAGCUGCCAUGCGGUGGCCUCUGGGAACAAACUGUACGUGGUGGGGGGCUACUUUGGGACGCAGCGCUGCAAGACUCUAGACUGUUAUGACCCCACGUCAGAUAGCUGGAACAGUAUAACCACAGUGCCUUACUCACUAAUUCCCACUGCGUUUGUAAGUACCUGGAAACAUCUACCUGCCUAGCAACCUUGACAUGAACAUGGAGUGGUCUCCAGAACUGGGGACUAAAGAGGGCACCUGAUUGGCAUUUCACACAAUUGGCUUAGCAGGAGGAAACAGUUAUGCUUAACUCAUUUGGAGGUUGAAGGAUAUCCCACCCUGACACCUGGGCAGAUGUAAAGAACUUGAGAACCGCCCAGCCACCAGGACAAUCACCAUAUCCCAGGAUUUGUUUCAGGGGUGUGCAACAUCACAAUGUUAGAUACUUACUGCACUGCUGGAGAUAGCUGGUGCAGCGAAAUGCUUAUGCUUCUAUAACAUCUGCUAAUCUGUGACGUAACCAAUACACUUUUAUUUGAUAUAGAAAUAGAUUCAUCCAGGUUAUUGUUUGUCAUGCAGAUUGUUCAGGUCAUUGUAAUUUAUGACGCUCAUUCUAAAAUACAGAUGUGACUUCUGGGGGAUUGCACUGUGUGCAAGUCUUACAUUUAGACCACAAUUAGUUGAAUGAGGUGUUGGUAAAGGGCUGGAACAAAAACCUGUAAACUCCUAUGUAUAAAAACAUUUUAAAAACCGGUGGAAUUUUCCAAGAUAUUUAAAGGCACAGUCAACUAAGUGCAUGUAAACAUCUGACCCACUGGAAUUGUGAUACAGUGAAUUGUAAGUGAAAUAAUCUGUCUGUUAACAAUUGUUGGAAAAAUUACUUAUGUCAUGCACGAAGUAGAUGUCCUAACAGACUUGCCAAAACUAUAGUUUGUUAACAAGAAAUUUGUGGAGUUGUUGAAAAACGAGUUUUAAUGACUCCAACCUAGGUGUAUGUAAACUUCCAACUUCAACUGUAUGUACCCCACGCAUACAAUUAUCUGUAGGGUUCCUCAGUCGAGCAGUGAGUAUCAAACACAAAGACCAGGGAGGUCUUCCAAUGCCUCACAAAGGGCAGCUAAAAAUUGAUGCAGACAUUGAAUAUCCCUUUUGAGCAUGAAGUUAUGAAUUACACUUUGGAUGGUGGAUCAAUACACCCAGUCACUACAAAGAUGCAGGUGUCCUUCCUAACUCAGUUACCGAAGAGGAAGGAAACAGUUAGAGUAAAAUUGGCUGUGAUAUGACAAAAUGGAGGAUGGAUUAACAACAUUGUAAUUUAUAAACUAUACUAACCGAAAUGACAGCGUGAAAAGGAAGCCUGUACAGAAUAAAAAUAAUAUAAAAUCACUGAGUACAGCUUUUCAUAUUUCGAAGCAUGGUGGUGGCUUCAUCAUGUUAUGGGUAUGCUUGUCAUCGGCAAGGUUUUUUAUUUAUUUAAUUUAAAUAAACCGAGGUAAGCAGGCAAAAGAUACAUGAAGAUGUUGGUUGAUCUCUACGACGCACACAAGCUUCAGGGGAUUCAUCUGAAGGUAACCCAGGACCUGGCUGUAAAAAUUGCGAAAAGUGCAUAUGGGGUAAAAUGAGCCAAAAAUAAUGUGGCCAAACCUGAGUUUUAUUAUAUAUCUCUGAUAUAGGACAGACACUUCAAACUCUUGUUCCUUAUUAUUUAUUUAUUUUACUGUGUUUUGCUAUUUAUGAAUUAUUCAAUGCGUUUCUAUGAGCUCUAGCAGUAAAUCAAAUCAAAGUUUGUCACGUGCGCCGAAUACGACAGGUGAAAUGCUUACUUACAGGCUCUAACCAAUGGUGCCAAAAAAAGGUAUGUGUGUGUGUGUGUGGGUAAGUAAAGAAAUAAAACAACAGUAGAAAGACAUUUUUAAAAAGAGUAGCAAGGCUAAAUACAGACACCUGUUAGUCAGGCUUAUUGAGGUAGAAUGUACAUGUAGGUAUUGUUAAAGUGACUGUGCAUAUAUGAUGAACACAGAGUAGCAGAAGCGUAAAAAGGGGUUGGCGGGUGGUGGGACACAAUGUAGAUAGCCCGGUUAGCCAAUGUGCGGGAGCACUGGUUGGUCGGGCCAAUUGAGGUAGUAUGUACAUGAAUGUAUAGUUAAAGUGACUAUGCAUGUAAGAUAAACAGAGAGUAGUAGCAGAGUAAAAGAGGGGUUGGGGGGGUGGCACACAAUGCAAAUAGUCCGGGUGACCAUUGGUUACCUGUUCAGGAGUCUUAUGGCUUGGGUUAAAAACUGUUGAGAAGCCUUUUUGUCAUAGAUUUGGCACUCCGGUACCGCUUGCCAUGCGGUAGUAGAGAGAAGAGUCUAUGACUGAGGUGCCUGGGGCCUUCCUCUGACACCGCCUGGUGUAGAGGACCUGGAUGGCAGGCAGCUUCGCACUACCCUCUGAAGUGCCUUGCGCUCGCAGGCCGAGCAAUUGCCGUACCAGGCAGUGAUGCUCUCGAAGUUGCAGCUGUAGAACCUUUUGAGGAUCUCAGGACCCAUGACAAAUCUUUUUAGUUUCCUGAGGGGGAAUAGGCUUUGUCUUGCCCUCUUCACGACUGUCUUGGUGUGUUUGGACCAAUCUAGUUUGUUGUUGAUGUGGACACCAAGGAAUUUGAAGCUCUCAACCUGCUCCACUGUAGCCCCGUCGAUUAGAAUGGGGAUGUGCUCUGUGCUCCUUUUCCUGUAGUCCACAAUCAUCUCCUUAGUCUUGGUUACAUUGAGGGAUAGGUUGUUAUUGCACCACCCGGCCAGGUCUCUGACCUCCUCCCUUAUAGGCUGUCUCGUCGUUGUCGGUGAUCAGGCCUACCACUGUUGUGUCGUCAGCAAACUUAAUGAUGGUGUUGGAGUCGUGCCUGGCCAUGCAGUCGUGGGUGAACAGGGAGUACAGGAGGGGACUGAGUACGCACCCCUGGGGAGCUCCAAUGUUGAGGAUCAGCGUGGCAGAUGUGUUGCUACCUACCCUCACUACCUGGGGCCGGCCUGUCAGGAAGUCCAGGAUCCAGUUGCAGAGGGAGGUGUUUAGUCCCAGGAUCCUUAGCUUAGUGAUGAGCUUUGAGGGUACUAUGGUGUUGAAUGCUGAGCUAUAGUCAAUGAACAGCAUUCUCACAUAGGUGUUCCUUUUGUCCAGGUGGGAAAGGUCAGUGUGGUGUGCAAUAGAGUUUGCAUCAUCUGUGGAUCUGUUUGGGCGGUAUGCAAAUUGGAGUGGGUCUAGGGUUUCAGGGAUAAUGGUGUUAAUAUGGUGGUCUGCUUGAACCAUGUUAGACUCAAUCAGGGACAUGUUGAAAAUGUCAGUAAAGAAACCUGCCAGUUGGUCAGCACAUGCCCAAAGCACACGUCCUGGUAAUCCGUCAUGCCCCACAGCCUUGGGUAUGUUGACCUGUUUAAAGGUCUUACUCACAUCGGCUAUGGAGAGCGUGAUCACACAGUCGUCCUGAACAGCUGAUGCUCUCAUGCAUGCCUCAGCGUUGCUUGCCUCGAAGCAAGCAUAGAAGUGAUUUAGCUCGUCUGGUAGGCUCGUGUCACUGGGCAGCUCGCGGCUGUGCUUCCCUUUGUAGUCUGUAAUAGUUUGCAAGCCCUGCCACAUCCGCCGAGCGUCAGAGCCGGUGAAGUCUGAUUCAAUCUUAGCCCUGUAUUGACGCUUUGCCUGUUGAUAGUUCGUCGCAGGGCAUAGCGGAAUAUCUUGUAAGCUUCCAGGUUAGAGUCCCGCACCUUGAAAGCGGCAGCUCUACCCUUUAGCUCAGUGCGAAUGUUGCCUGUUAUCCAUGGCUUCUGGUUGGGGUAUGUACGUACAGUCACUGUGGGGAUAAUGUUCUCAAUGCACUUAUUGAUAAAGCCAGUGUCUGAUGUGGUGUAUUCCUCAAUGUCAUCGGAAGAAUCCCGGAACAUGUUCUAGUCUGUGAUAGCAAAGCAGUCCUGUAGUUUAGCAUCUGCUUCAUCUGACCAUUUUUUUAUAGGCCGAGUCACUGAUGCAUCCUGCUUUCAUUUUUGCUUGUAAGCGGGAAUCAGGAGGAUAGAGUUGUGGUCGGAUUUACCAACUGGAGGGCGAGGGAGAGCUUUGUACGCAUUUCUGUGUGUGGAGUACAGGUGAUCUAUAAUUUUUCCCCUCUGGUUGCACAUUUAACAUGUUGAUAGAGAUUUGGUAGAACUGAUUUAAGUUUCCCAGCAUUAAAGUCUCUGGCCACUAGGAGCGCCGCCUCUGGGUGAGUGGUUUCCUGUUUGCUUAUUUCCUUAUACAGCUGACUGAGUGCGGUCUUAGUGCUAGCAUCUGUCUGUGGUGGUAAAUAAACAGCCACGAAAAGUAUAGCGGAGAACAGUAGUGUGGCCUGCAGUUUAUCACAAUAUACUCAACUUCUGGCGAGCAAAAUCUAGAGACUUCCUUAGAUUUUGUGCACCAGCUGUUGUUUACAAAUAUGCACAGACCGCCGCCGCCCCGUCUUACCGGAGUGUGCUGUUCUAUCCUGCCGGUGCAGAGUAUAUCCUUCUAGCUGAAUAUCCAUGUCGCCAUUCAGCCACAAUUCCGUGAGGAUAUUACAGUUUUUUUGAAGGCUAUAUUCAAUGUUAAAUGUUUUUUUUUUGAUACCUACAUAGGUCAUAAAAAAUUCUAAAUCAAAUGGCUAAAUGAUACAUUUUAUGAACAACUUAUAACAAUUCCAUACGUUAGCUUAGUAGAUAUUGUGAUCUAAGGACUUGAACCUAUAGGGGGUUUAAUUGCACAUACAGAACUAACAUUAACAAUAUGCAUGCCAGUCAUUCCUGCUUUAUUUGACCUUUAUUUAACUAGGCAAGUCAAUUAAGAAUAAAUUCUUAUUUACAUGUAUCUUAUUUACAAUCACGGCGUACCCUGGCCAAACCUGGACGACGCUGGGUCAAUUGUGCCCCGCCCUAUGGGACUCCCUAUCACGGCCAGAUGUGAUUCAGCCUGGAUUCAAACCAGGGACUGUAAUGACAUCGCUUGCAAAGAGAUGUACUGCCUUAGACCGCUGCGCCACUCAGGAGCCCUGAGGGUUGACGAGAGAUUAACUGCUUCUCCUAGUUUUUAUGAGAGAUAUUACUGUGAUGAAAAUUCCAGAUUGUCUGCAUAAUCAAAUAACAUACAGCUCAGACACCCAUAUAGACCCCACAAUAAAUGCCACCAGGGUCUCUUCACCGUCCAAGUCCAAAACGAAUUCAUGCCAACACACAGUAUUUACUAUACAGAGCCAUGAUCUCAUGGAACUCCCUUCCAUCUCCAUUUACUCAAGCAAAAUUACCAAUUAAAAAUGUAUAAAACAUCUCAUGGCACAAUAGGGACUGAAAUUAUGCACACACUAACGGUCUACACAUUCUUUAGUUGUAUUGUUUGUAUAUUGUUGUAUUUUACAUUUAUGUGACCGUUCUUGUCUAUCAGUGUAUCUGUGGAAGAAUAGCUGCUGCUUCUGCAACAUCUACUGGGGAUCUGAAUAAACCAAUAAGUUGUGUUGAUGUCUUGAGUCUGUAUUCCUCAUUGGCGCUGUUUUGUCUAUUUCAGUGUUUUGCCUCUGAGACAUGAGACUUUGGUUUCACUGUGUAUCCAUCCGCCUCUCUGUUCACAGAUGUCACAUGUUUCCGGCCAUAGUGACUAGCAGAGGCUUGCUGGGGCUUGCCUGCCUGUAGACCAACGAGAUGUGUCAAGCGAGUGAAGGGUUUGGUUCCGCCAGGGUCGCCCAGCUAUAGCUGUUACGCUAAACACCCCCUCGGAGGUAAAGACUGUUCCAGAUUAUCUGAGGGGUGCGUGGUCCAACGGCAGAACACAAGGUCCUCCAAGAGGGAUGCCAUUUGCUGGAUCUUCUCCCUCACAUCACAAGGAGACAUCCAUACCAUGCUUCCUAACAGUCUUAUUCAUGACCAUGGAGAGAAACAGACUCUUUAUAGACAGACAACCGAUUUGGGUAUUAUUGCUCAAUAUUUCUAACUGAGGCCAUUUUUAAAUGUCUUAUUAUUUGAGGGAUCCCCUAUUAGAUCAUUCCAGCUUUGAACCCAGACAAUGUAGUCUUAAGGGGUGAUUGUUUUUUGUAAAUGGCAAUUAAUUAACUACAGUAAGCAGGAACACUAUCCUUUCCAUCAUAAAAUGUGGUGCUGUUUUAUUAGCUCUUUGCUGUAGGCUCUCAGCACACACUGUUAAUGAGCCUCAGCACACUCAGAUCCAACAAGCAGCCCUACACUACAUUGCAAGUCAACUCUUUAAAACAAUGAGAUACUGUAUAUCAAAGAAACACAACACGUAUCAUCUAACUUUCAGGGGAAGUACAUGUUAAAGUAUAAGCAGUUGUACUGUAUUUACUUUGUAUCUAUGAAACAAUUCAGCCUGGGACUCCUGUCAACACCACAGCACAAUUUGCUAUUGUUGACCUCUUAUCAUUGAAGCAUUUCUUGAAGGUAUGAAACGAUACCCAUUACUCACUGGUUUCAUCAAGAUUGUUUCCAUGUCAUUUCAACCCCCAAAUUAAAUGUGAUUACAUUGGAAACAUGGAAAACUGAUUUGGAUUAGCAAAAAGUAAUCAACGUAGUCUUUUUUCACCCACCUUUUAACCUAAAUCCAAUGGACAUGGUGACAUUUCGUGUUGAUUUCAAGUUGAAUUCACAAUUGUUGACAACUCAACCAAAUUUAAAAUCAAAACUAGAUGUUGAAAUUGCAUCUGUACCUGGGUACAUUGUGGUUGAUGUGUGUUUUAGUUAUACAACCUUUGCACUUGGCACUAUACAUUUGAUAAUAUGUCAAUGAGGGUACUAAGCUUUGAUAUUGGGAUUUUUCCAGGGGUGGAUUUGGUUUAUAUCUGGAGUUUAUUUGUGGAAUGAUAGCUGCCCAGAAGCUACAACCUUUUUCUUCAGAAGACCCGUAGGAGGGGGGAUUUUGUUUUAUGAUAAAGACUCACUUUUAAACUACAGUUACUUUUCCAUGUGGGGGGUGCCUUCAAUGACUGUAAUAAGGCCUCCUUGUGAACUGAAUUUUUGUGCCUAAUACUGGUAGAAAGGUUUGUCAUAAAUUCACUCUUUGAAUAAAUGACUUUUUAAUUCACAUUGA
This is an RNA transcript of Oncorhynchus masou masou (cherry salmon), 8913 nucleotides long. It is a transcript of the gene named kelch-like protein 25, with no coding region annotated. The record is from RefSeq and is a predicted model, not a curated record. The transcript is spliced from 4 exons. NCBI's taxonomy places the organism in Eukaryota, Metazoa, Chordata, Actinopteri, Salmoniformes, Salmonidae.